AUAUUGGACAAUGGGGGGAACCCUGAUCCAGCCAUGCCGCGUGUGUGAAGAAGGCCUUAUGGUUGUAAAGCACUUUAAGCGAGGAGGAGGCUCUUUUGGUUAAUACCCAAGAUGAGUUGACGUUACUCGCAGAAUAAGCACCGGCUAACUCUGUGCCAGCAGCCGCGGUAAUACAGAGUGUGCGAACGUUAAGCGGAUUUACUGGGCGUAAAGCGUGCGUAGGCGGCUUUUUAAGUCGGAUGUGAAAUCCCCGAGCUUAACUUGGGAAUUGCAUUCGAUACUGGGGAGCUAGAGUAUGGGAGAGGAUGGUAGAAUUCCAGGUGUAGCGGUGAAAUGCGUAGAGAUCUGGAGGACUACCGAUGGCGAAGGCAGCCAUCUGGCCUAAUACUGACGCUGAGGUACGAAAGCAUGGGGAGCAAAC
This 421-nucleotide ribosomal RNA is filed under the name uncultured bacterium. RNAcentral's name for it is "bacterial SSU rRNA". It matches the Rfam family "Bacterial small subunit ribosomal RNA", at positions 361 to 773 of the family's 1533-position model. The record is from RNAcentral.